This 2152-nucleotide long non-coding RNA is filed under the name Homo sapiens (human). RNAcentral's name for it is "HSALNT0224518". The record is from RNAcentral. Lineage: Eukaryota; Metazoa; Chordata; Mammalia; Primates; Hominidae.
AGCUUACUUACAUUUUAGAUGAGUUUUUGGCUAAGGUUAACCUAUAGGUUAACCUGAUUAGUCUAUACAAUUUGAAUGAAAUGUCUAAUAACCAUUCACUCAACCCAUAUUUAAUAAGUUUCUGCAUUAAGUGCUAGGUGGGGCCGGGUGAUACAGUGUAGGUGAGAAGACAGAUCAGGGUAACACGGUAGCACAUUCUAUAACACAGGUAGAAGAUAUAACAUUUUAACAGAGCCCAGGGGCAACAGGAAGAGUGCCCAGGAAUACGAAGAGGUCGAUAAAUGAAGCAGACACACAAAGACAGAAUUUCUUUCAGGCCCACAGAACCAGACUCUAAGUAAGUGACUGAAAGCUUUAUUUUACAGCACAUAAAGAGCCCUUGGGUGAGCCUGCUAAAAUGCAGAUUCUUGGGCCCAACCCUCAAAGAUUUUGAUUCAGAAGGUGUGAGAGUCGGCCAAGGAAUCUACAUUUUUUUUUUUUUUUUUUUUUUUUCCCGAGACAGAGUCUCACUUUGUUGCCCAGGCUGGAGUGCGGUGGCGUGACCUUGGCUCACUGCAACCUCCACCUCCUGGGCCUCAGCCUCCCCAGUAGUUGGGAUUACAGGCGCGUGCCACCAGGCCCGGCUAAUUUUUCUAUUUUUUGGUAGAGACGGGGUUUCACCAUGAUGGCCAGGCUGGUCUUAACCUCCUGACCUCAGGUAAUCUGUCUGCCUCAGCCUCCCAAAGUGCUGGGAUUACAGGUGUGAGCCACCACGCCCAGCCUACAUUUUUAAUUGUCGUCUCAGGAGACUCUAUUGCAGAAGGUCCUUGGCCCAUUCUUACUUAUCAGCCAUUUAACCCAUCAAAAGACAGGCAGUGUGAACAGGUGAACACUGAGGUGCAGAGAGAGAAAAGCUGUGGAAGCUGUGGCUCUACAACCAGCAACGUCAAAAGGACAGGAGUUGCGGAUUCCUAUUUUGGCUUUCCUGAGACCCUCAUAUUAAGAAAGGGCAGGGAACUUCAUUCUGAUUACUAAAAAGUGACUAUCCUGUUAAAAACUAAAAACUAGGUUUUAUAUAGCAAUCUGGUAUGGCGUGCUGAAGCAUCUCUUCAUCAUCAAGACACCAGUCACUCGAGGUUUAAUUAUUAAGCCUGACCUGUCCCUGAAACAUGAGGACUCAACUGAGGGCUACCAUGUGAAACUGCCUGAGUGGCUGGCAGAUACCCCAUGUGACAGCCCCAUUAGUGCAUGCUCUCCUCAGACUGGAACAGAAGGAAGGCUUCAUGGAGUAGGUGGCACCUGAGGCGCCAUUCAUUGAAGGAUAAUGGUGAAGAAGAGGAUAACCAACAGCCAACCUGACUGCUCACUUACUAUGUGCCAGGCGCUUUACACAGGUGAUCUCAUGGGAUCCCCACAGCAACUCUGCGACGUAGAUGCUAUUAUCAUCCCCAAGAUCACACUGCUACACGGCGGGCUUCCCCAGCGGCCACGUGAGGUGUGAUGCCCCCACCGCUGAGCGCAGGCACAGACCACCCAGCUGCCUUGGAGGGAUUUGUAAAAGGAAACAACCCAUGUACCUGUUAAGUGCAGAUGUCAGCCUGAACCCAGGAUGCUUUUCGUCUUUCCAAGGAGGCUGCUGCCUUUAAAAACCAGAACAACAUAAAAGGAAAAGAAGUCAAUCCACAGACAGCAAAGGAGGGCCUCAGCACUUGCAUUUGAGAACUGGCUCUUCUACUCACCUCGCUCUGCAAGAGUUACUUAAAAAUACCCCACACCUCGCUCAUUUUGCUCAUCAUUGUUAAAAUGAGGAACUGUCUCCACUCUUGCUCCAAACCUGGUAACACUGCCAUUCCCUCUGUGCCACAUGUGAGGGACCCAGGCCCAGGAUUCUAGUCUAGGUACCUCACCCCCUGGAAACAGUGUUUGGCUCAGGGAUCGGCUCACGACGCAAACAGAACCAAGGAGAGUGCUUUUGAGUGGAAAAAAAAGGAGUGCCCCAAUAGGGCUGGUAAGCCCAAGGGCCGUCUGAACCUGGGGGUCUUCACCUUGGAGAAAGCCUGUCUGUUAUGCCUGAAGUCAUCUCAGAAGUGGUACCACAGAGAUAAAUGAAGAUUCUGAGGCCAAAGGAGAAUUGCAGGGAAGAUAAAUCCUGAAAACUUUUCAAACAUUUCAG